Molecule: non-coding RNA, 96 nt
Filed under: uncultured eukaryote
Lineage: Eukaryota
Source: RNAcentral
AGAAGGCGAGGAAGAAGAGACGAAGAAACAGAAAAGAAAAAAAGGAAAUUAAGAGAGGUUUUGUUGCGCUCUUUACGACAGAAAUUGAUUCUUUCU